Molecule: ribosomal RNA, 561 nt
Filed under: uncultured bacterium
Lineage: Bacteria
Description: partial 16S ribosomal RNA
Rfam family: Bacterial small subunit ribosomal RNA
Source: RNAcentral
UGGGGAAUUUUGGACAAUGGGCGAAAGCCUGAUCCAGCAAUGCCGCGUGUGUGAAGAAGGCCUUCGGGUUGUAAAGCACUUUUGUCCGGAAAGAAAUCCUUGGCUCUAAUACAGUCGGGGGAUGACGGUACCGGAAGAAUAAGCACCGGCUAACUACGUGCCAGCAGCCGCGGUAAUACGUAGGGUGCAAGCGUUAAUCGGAAUUACUGGGCGUAAAGCGUGCGCAGGCGGUUUGCUAAGACCGAUGUGAAAUCCCCGGGCUCAACCUGGGAACUGCAUUGGUGACUGGCAGGCUAGAGUAUGGCAGAGGGGGGUAGAAUUCCACGUGUAGCAGUGAAAUGCGUAGAGAUGUGGAGGAAUACCGAUGGCGAAGGCAGCCCCCUGGGCCAAAUACUGACGCUCAUGCACGAAAAGCGUGGGGAGCAAAACAGGAUUAGAUACCCUGGUAGUCCACGCCCUAAAACGAUGUCAACUAGUUGUUGGGGAUUCAUUUCCUUAGUAACGUAGCUAACGCGUGAAGUUGACCGCCUGGGGGAGUACGGUCGCAAAGAUUAAAAACUC